GGGUGGCUGAAUUAGAGAUCGGCACCCUAUAUUUUUAAUAUCUACAGUUGUCUGGAGUAAAGAAUGUCUCUAAGCGUUGAAGCUAAAGCAAAAAUCGUUUCUGAGUUUGGUCGUGAUGC
Molecule: non-coding RNA, 119 nt
Filed under: insect gut metagenome
Description: Ribosomal S15 leader
Rfam family: Ribosomal S15 leader
About the family: The E. coli Ribosomal S15 gene 5' UTR can form two alternative structures.
Source: RNAcentral